UCACAUUUCCAGAGACGGACAGCGAAUGUCGUGAGAUCAAAUUAGGCUUUUUCAACAAAUACAAAUUUCGCAAUGUGCUGGGCGCGAUUGACUGUACCCACGUGCAGAUCAGACCGCCACGGAAUUCAGAGGAAUGUUUUCGGAACCGAAAACAGUUCCAUUCCCUGAACGUGCAGGCGGUCUGUGAUGUAAACAUGAGAUUUUUGAACAUUUUUGUGGGAUUUCCUGGAUCAUCUCACGACUCCUUCAUCCUAAGCCAGUCAUCGCUGUUUGACAAGUUUAAACAGGAAACAUGCCUGGUGGCUGGCUGUUAGGCGAUGCGGGUUAUCCAAACAAACCGUGGCUCUUGACCCCAUUGUCUAAUCCUGUCGGUAGAGCAGAAAAACGUUACCAAGAGACACACAUUGCAUCGAGGCAAAUAAUUGAACGUGCCUUCGGUGUACUUAAAAGCCGGUUUCGAUGUUUAGACACUUCCGGCGGUGCUCUUUUGUACUCACCGGCGAAGGUUUGCGGCAUGGUAAAUGCAUGUUGUAUUUUACACAACAUAUGUGUCGCAAACCGUUUGCCGGUGACUCUUCGUCGCAGUGCUUUCCGACGCGGGAACCGGUCUUCUGCUCUACCGGUGGGUAUGGACGAAGGAGAGGAUUCCCGGCGGACAUUGAUCCAAAAUUAUUUUGCAGUUGCCUAGUUUUACAUCCUGUUGAUGUAUAUCCCCAGGCCAUGUUUGUACAGUUCGUUACCCCCUGUUUUAUCCUGUUGUUGGGUUACCGCAAAUAUUUGAUCCUUUUAUCCAACUCUACCAUGGGUGACCUACUGGUGAUGUGGACCUGACCCUCCGCCAUGUAGCAGACAACCCCCCCUCAGGUGAGAUGUAUUGCCCAAAACUCCCUUGUCCAAAAUCACCCCGACAUGUCCAAAGUGCAGCCCUCCGGCAUUUGCAAGACUGCACAUCCAAACAUUCCCUGAAACAGCAAUGCUAGUCAGGGA
Molecule: long non-coding RNA, 987 nt
Organism: Pseudophryne corroboree (corroboree frog)
Lineage: Eukaryota; Metazoa; Chordata; Amphibia; Anura; Myobatrachidae
Exons: 3
Source: RefSeq, a predicted model, not a curated record